Small nucleolar RNA from Oxyura jamaicensis (ruddy duck), 74 nucleotides. The record is from RefSeq and is a predicted model, not a curated record. Lineage: Eukaryota; Metazoa; Chordata; Aves; Anseriformes; Anatidae.
UUGCAAUGAUGUAUGAAUUUCUUCACCUGAAUCUUUGCUGAAGAGCAAAACCGAGCUUUUUAACACUGAGCAAU